UGUUGUAUUUCUAAUUUUGCUUGUUGCUUAAUUGUAUCUAUUUCUCUUUUUCUGUGAAUUUCUUCAUUUUCUUUAUUUAUUCUUACCAUAGCAGUUAAACUAUCUUCUAAUUUUACUGUUUCUUUUUCUAUCAUUAGAUAUAAGUUUUCGCCUAUCUUCUUGUAUCGUCUUCCUAAAUUUGAAAAUAUUAUCUUUAUUUUUAAUCCUUCUGGAUUUUCGUAAGUUUUUUCUUCUAUAGCAAAUUCUUCCUUAUUCAUCUUAAAUUAUUUUUUAAUUUAUACUCUAUCGCUUGUAUCUCUAAUUGUAUAUUAAAUAUUACUUUUCUUUGAGCUAGCAAAGAUUUUUGACAUACUCCUGCAUAUAUAUUGUAUUGAAGCCUUUCUUGUUUG
Molecule: long non-coding RNA, 389 nt
Filed under: Solanum tuberosum (potato)
Lineage: Eukaryota; Viridiplantae; Streptophyta; Magnoliopsida; Solanales; Solanaceae
Description: long non-coding RNA (STUB_LNC007322)
Source: RNAcentral